This 466-nucleotide ribosomal RNA is filed under the name uncultured bacterium. RNAcentral describes it as "partial 16S ribosomal RNA". It matches the Rfam family "Bacterial small subunit ribosomal RNA", at positions 28 to 507 of the family's 1533-position model. The record is from RNAcentral.
GACGAACGCUGGCGGCGUGCUUAACACAUGCAAGUCGAACGGAAAGGCCCUGCUUUUGUGGGGUGCUCGAGUGGCGAACGGGUGAGUAACACGUGAGUAACCUGCCCUUGACUUUGGGAUAACUUCAGGAAACUGGGGCUAAUACCGGAUAGGAGCUCCUGCUGCAUGGUGGGGGUUGGAAAGUUUCGGCGGUUGGGGAUGGACUCGCGGCUUAUCAGCUUGUUGGUGGGGUAGUGGCUUACCAAGGCUUUGACGGGUAGCCGGCCUGAGAGGGUGACCGGCCACAUUGGGACUGAGAUACGGCCCAGACUCCUACGGGAGGCAGCAGUGGGGAAUAUUGCACAAUGGGCGGAAGCCUGAUGCAGCAACGCCGCGUGCGGGAUGACGGCCUUCGGGUUGUAAACCGCUUUCGCCUGUGACGAAGCGUGAGUGACGGUAAUGUAAAGAAGCACCGGCUAACUACGUG